Molecule: ribosomal RNA, 533 nt
Filed under: uncultured bacterium
Lineage: Bacteria
Description: bacterial SSU rRNA
Rfam family: Bacterial small subunit ribosomal RNA
Source: RNAcentral
AAGUCGAACGAAGUAGCAAUACUUAGUGGCAGACGGGUGAGUAACAUGUAGGUAUCUACCCUUUGGCCUGGAAUAACACGAGGAAACUUGUGCUAAUACCGGAUAAGUCUUUACGGAGAAAGCUUUAUGCACCAUUGGAUGAGCCUGCACUUGAUUAGUUUGUUGGUGGGGUAAUGGCCUACCAAGACUGUGAUCAAUAGCUGAUUUGAGAGGAUGAUCAGCCACAUUGGGACUGAGACACGGCCCAAACUCCUACGGGAGGCAGCAGUGGGGAAUCUUGCACAAUGGAGGAAACUCUGAUGCAGCGAUGCCGCGUGAGUGAAGAAGGCCCUUGGGUUGUAAAGCUCUUUCGUCGGGGAAGAAAAUGACUGUACCCGAAUAAGAAGGUCCGGCUAACUUCGUGCCAGCAGCCGCGGUAAUACGAAGGGACCUAGCGUAGUUCGGAAUUACUGCGCUUAAAGAGUUCGUACGUGGUUGAAAAAGUUAGUGGUGAAAUCCCAGAGCUUAACUCUGGAACUGCCAUUAAAACUUUU